GAUGAACGCUAGCGAUAGGCUUAACACAUGCAAGUCGAGGGGCAGCAUGGUCUUAGCUUGCUAAGACUGAUGGCGACCGGCGCACGGGUGCGUAACGCGUAUGCAACUUGCCUCACAGAGGGGGAUAACCCGUCGAAAGACGGACUAAUACCGCGUACACUCUAUGUUGGGCAUCCAAUGUAGAGGAAAUGAAAUUCGCUGUGAGAUAGGCAUGCGUCCCAUUAGCUAGUUGGUGAGGUAACGGCUCACCAAGGCGACGAUGGGUAGGGGAACUGAGAGGUUGAACCCCCACACUGGUACUGAGACACGGACCAGACUCCUACGGGAGGCAGCAGUGAGGAAUAUUGGUCAAUGGGCGAGAGCCUGAACCAGCCAAGUCGCGUGAAGGAUGACUGUCUUAUGGAUUGUAAACUUCUUUUAGACGGGAAUAACAAGAGCCACGUGUGGCUCCCUGCAUGUACCGUAUGAAUAAGCAUCGGCUAACUCCGUG
Molecule: ribosomal RNA, 490 nt
Filed under: uncultured bacterium
Lineage: Bacteria
Description: partial 16S ribosomal RNA
Rfam family: Bacterial small subunit ribosomal RNA
Source: RNAcentral